GUUAUGUCUUCAAAAUCACUUAUUAAUGAUGUACCUUUGAAAAUAAAGAAAAAAUCAUCCUCAAACUAUAUCAGAAUCGGGCAUUGUGAGGAAUGUUAUCACAGCAUGCCAAGCUGUGAAAGAAAUCAAAUAUUAUACCUGUGAAUACUGACGAGGAUGAAACAACAUCACAUGUUAAUCCCUGAUUGAGUGAUACUACAUCCUAAGGAAAUUGCCCAACCCCUCAAGAUACUUCCAAGUGUGGUUGUAUUUGAGUCUUCAAAAUGUCAUUUCACUAUUCUCUCAGGACAACUGCUUCAGGAUGAUAGGGAACAUGCUACUUGGCCAUGCAGAGAAGCUUGGAAUGAUCACAGAAGCUGACAGGGCCGCUGAUACUGUGGAAGGCUGGCUGCAAAAAAGUAAUGUCUGCUAAAAACAGAUCCUUCCAGUAUAAUCAGAGAAAAACUGCAGCACCCCAGAGAUAAGCGAAAUCAUACACCAGCAAAAGACUUUAGAUUAAUGAAGAAAGAGAGCUGAGGUAUUACAAAAGCUUCUUGGCUACCUCCUCUUGCCUCAGACAUAUGCCUGCCGACAGGUACUGAGUAUAUGACAUCUCGAGGACUUUAGAGAAUAAGUAGUAUUUUAAUUUGUUGAGCAAUAACUAAAUGCCAAACAUCUGGCAUAGAGUGUCUAAAAAUCCUUUCAAUGGUUUUGCAAAGUAGGUAUAGUCAUCUCUACUCUAUGAGUGGUACAGCUGUAGAUUAACAAAGUUAAGCAAUUUUUCCAAGAUCACACAUC
Long non-coding RNA from Acinonyx jubatus (cheetah), 777 nucleotides. RefSeq lists it as uncharacterized. The transcript has 4 exons. NCBI's taxonomy places the organism in Eukaryota, Metazoa, Chordata, Mammalia, Carnivora, Felidae. The record is from RefSeq and is a predicted model, not a curated record.